ACUCAAAUGAAUUGACGGGGGCCCGCACAAGCAGUGGAUCAUGUUGUUUAAUUCGAAGCUACGCGAAAAACCUUACCAGGGCUUGACAUGGAGCGGAUCGCCGUAGAGAUACGGUUUCCCCUUCGGGGGUCGCUCACACAGGUGGUGCAUGGUUGUCGUCAGCUCGUGUCGUGAGAUGUUGGGUUAAGUCCCGCAACGAGCGCAACCCUUAUUGUUAGUUGCUACGCAAGAGCACUCUAGCGAGACUGCCGGUGACAAACCGGAGGAAGGCGGGGACGACGUCAAAUCAUCAUGCCCCUUAUGUCCUGGGCUACAAACGUGAUACAAUGGCGCUUAACAGAGGGAAGCAAGACCGCGAGGUGGAGCAAAUCCCUAAAAGGCGUCUCAGUUCGGAUCGCAGGCUGCAACCCGCCUGCGUGAAGUCGGAAUUGCUAGUAAUCGCGGAUCAGCAAGCCGCGGUGAAUACGUUCCCGGGCCUUGUACACACCGCCCGU
Molecule: ribosomal RNA, 494 nt
Filed under: uncultured bacterium
Lineage: Bacteria
Description: bacterial SSU rRNA
Rfam family: Bacterial small subunit ribosomal RNA
Source: RNAcentral